CUGGCCAUUACACUUCCAAGUCCCAAUUCUCAGCAUCUUCUUGGUGCAAUCAAACAGUUUCAGGUAAUUUCGUUGAGGUUCCCGUCCAGGAAACAUUGAACCUAUGGCAGAUGCUAGUACAGUAAUUCAUCACAGUAGCUGGACAAAUAUUUGAUCUAAUUUAUUUAGAUAUUCAAUUCCUGGAAUGUUCAUUUUGCAAACUCUGCUUUCGCUUUCAGCAUGCCUGAAAAUAAAUUAGGCAUUUCCAAUACAUAGAAACAUGUACACACAAGAAGUUCAGGGAUUAUCUCAAAUUUGCUGGUAAUAAGGGAUGCAUUUCAUGCUUUCUUCAAAUGCAAAUACCAAAUAUCAAGAAAUAGCCUCAAUUCUAAAAAUUUUAUCACGACGGUUUCAUUUAUGCAAAGAUGAAACCAUCUAGAAUCACCUCUGCCAUGCAAGUAGGCUAUUAUCUGAGGUGAUUGCUGAAACCCAAAAGGUUUUGUUUUGCCUGCAUGAGCCAAGAGUAAGGUAUUUGUUGCCUGAUAUGCUAGACAUUUUGGCAGUGGAUAUACCCAAGCCCACAAUCCUGAUUAAAGUGUGAAUCAAAGUGAUCUUCACCAACACAUUUUUCACCAGCAUAGAAGUUUUAUACAAGCAAUAUACAGACUACAGUUCAUCAGUUUUCAUUUGGACAGGUUCUCAAGUUGACUAAAGUGUCGAGGUAUGAGAAGGGAGGAUAAACCAUGUGAAUUCACCUUAGAAUUUUCUGAACUUUCAUAUUCUGCAAGACAAUCCAUAAAGAGCUCUUUUCAGUGUGAAUCAACAAAAUACACCAUCUUUUCAACAGCUAACAAUAUUUUUUUUGCCCAUAUAAAAUAGAUCAUCGCAUAUUAAAAUACAAUUUCAAAGUCACCACUCCUUUUCAUAAAAUGUAGCUAAGAAGGGCAAAGGGAAAAAGAAUCUCCAUCACAUACAAUGUACUCCCCCAACUGGUAAUCACAUCAAAGGGGGGGAAACUAAAAAAUAAUACAAGCCUUUUCAUUUUUAACCUAUUCUGAAAAUCAGAUGCAAAAGCAAUAAUGCAAACACUCCGGUGCAAGAUAUUAUCAAAUAUACCUGCCCGUUAAUUGGACAUAAGUCAGGCCAUAACUUGUCUCUUCUCCUACUUUUGAUUGCUAGUACCCUUCUUCUUGAGUAGGCUUCCAAACUUGCGGAACAAAGGUUUCUUCUUCUUCUGUUGUUGCUGCUUCGAAGGUGAGCUCUCACCAUCACCAUUUUCUGUUGAAGACAAACCAUUUAUCUGAUCGAAGUUCUCAACACCCUCAGCCUUGGAGUCCACUUCAUCCUCAAAGGAUUCCUGUUCUGGUUCUCUUUCUGGUGAAAACUCUUUCUUUUCAAUCUUGCAGCUCUCCCACAUCUUAAACUCAACUUCUACCGAGUCAUUUUCUUUUUCUUUGGUUUCAUCUUCUUUUGGUUUCCCAUUCACAUUCUCAACUUUGGCAGCUACCAUUGGAACAGUCUGGUUGUUAAAGCCAUUAUUCUGUUCCUGUGAAUUUUCUUUUCCCAAAUCCUCGUGUUGUUGUGGUGGAAGCUCUAUUUUGGGCUUCUCUUCUCUCACAUGCCCAUUUUCUUCAGAGAAUUCAACCACCUUUGGAAGCAAAUCAUAGUCCUUGUCACUGUCUGUAAGCUCGCCAUUCUCCUCAGUUUGCUUCCUGGCCAUAGCUUCUUCAAGCAAGUUAGAUAACUCCUCCACCUUCUUCAAAGAAAUAGCUUCCCUAGUUCGGAGCUCCUCGUUUUCUUGGAAAAGAUUCUGCAGUUCAUUUUCCUUGUCUAAUAAACUUUUCUUCAGUUUCAUGCCCUCAACAUUUGAUUCCCCAAGAGCUUCUUGCAAUGAAAUCACCUCAGCUUCAACUUCCUUUAGGCUAUCUUUCAACUGAGCUUCUUCCUCCUUUGUGGCACAAGCUUCCUCCUCAGUCUGCCUGAGCAAAUUUACCAGCCUAUCAAUUUCUCUUUCCAAAGAAGAGUGUUCUUCUUCUGAUUUCUUUACACGGUUCAUUAGAUUUUGUUCUUUUUGCUCCCACUCAGUCUUGGAGUUCUGAAAUUCAUUCUUGGAUUCUAAAAUAUUAUUUUUAAGAAGAUCAAUCUCAUGUUUUGCAUCAUCUAGCAUAGUCUCAUAUCUCUGGUUUGCUUCCGUCAGGACCAACCUUAGAUCCUCUAUCUGGGUUUCGUAAUUUUUCUGCUCCUCUUGACCGGAUAGCAGCUUUUCUUUGGCUUCCCUUGCUUCUGCAGACACUUCAUGUAAAGCUGAAGCUAAACUUUCCAUUGCCUUCUUGCUCUUUUCCUCCUCAUCUCUAGAAUACUCCAACUCAUUUAUAAGUUUGUUUCUCCCUUCUAAUAGACUUUGAACACUAGAAGCUGCAAGUUUCUCAUUGUUUAAAGCCUGAGCUUUCUCUUCCUUCACUAUAUCCAAAUCAGAAUUCAAAGACUCAACCUGUUUUGCUAAUUCAGAAAUUUCUUCCUUUGCCACACCAAGACAAUGCUCUGAUUCCUCAAGAUCCCCUUUCAGUUUUGCAAUUGUCAUUUCGAACAACCCCACCUUAUCUUUAAGGGCCGCAAUUUCACUUUCUGCAUCAUGUAAGAGAUCAUUGUUUCCCUCAAGUUGUUUCAUGACUGAACAUAAAGAUUCAGAGGCAGAUCUCUCCAACUUAUUUGAUUCUUCAAGCUGCAUCUCUAAUUCCUCUACCCUACUUUUCCACUCCUCCACUAAACUGCGCGCAUAAGAUUCAGCCAUCUUAGCAGCUUCUAACUCAACAUUAAGCUGUUCUAUGGAAGCCUCUCUUUCAAUAAACUUAUCCUCAAAAACCCUUGCUUUCUCAAGUUCUUGUUUCAAAGUCUCUAUCUCGUCCUUAAACCUAGCCACCAUCUUGUUGCUUUCAGUGGUCUCUGUUUCAAGCUUUGAAUCAAGUAAGGCCUUCAAACGUGUCAACUCAGCUGAAAGAAUCUCCACCUUAUCAGCAUGAAUCUCAGCAAUCUUAGUUGCAUCAUCAGCAUGGCUCAGUGCCUGAUUCUUUGCAUCAGUAGUCAUGGCCAGUUCUUGCUUCAUCUUUUGAAGCUCCUGAGUGGUAGAAAGAAGAGCAGCCACAUCCAAAGCAUGUUGGUUUCUCACAGUCUCCAGCUCUUUCUGCCAUUCCUCUUCCUUCUUUUGGGCUGCGUCAAUCCCAGCCUGUUCCAACUCAACAGCACGGAACUUCUCAAUCUCAGAAUUCUCCUCAGCUCUUCUUUGAGCCACCAAAGCUUCUUGAAGCUUCUCAUUUGCCUCUUCAGCAGCCUUCUGUGCUUGUUUCAGUUCAUCAAUUGCUUGUGCCUUCUCUUUCUCAAUCAAUCCUAUCUGCUCCUUUGCUUUCUUUAGAUCCUCCUGAAGAAGACUCAAUUGAGCCUGUAAUUCUGACCCCUUCACCACCCUCGUCUGUGGUUUUUCAGGUGGUGGAGUGACCUUAGAUAACCGUCGAUCAAUUGUAGGCUUUGAAGUAACAGAUCUUGGGGAACGGUCAACUGAAAAGCGUGAACUCUGCAGAGGAGCAGGUGAAUCAGGCUCUGAUUUAGUGGCUCCCCGGCUCAGUUUACUCACUCUAGGAGUUGCUGGUGAUGCUUUGCUGGGAGUUUCAGACAAACCAGAUCGGUACAAAUUUUACAGUAUCAUUAUUACAUCAUCAGAUGAAAAUUCGUUGCAGAUAAAAAUCCCAUGUAUUAGAAACACAAUGCAAGACACCCAAAGACAACCCAUUUCCUAAAUAUUGAACUAAUUUUCAAAUUAACAAUGGAUCUAUGCCCAAGAUGGGGACUUUGAAUCAAUAAUUUUCUUUUCAUAACAAAAUCAAAUGCACCUAAUACCAUAUGCAUGCAAUUCCAUAAAUCAAAUUUCAAAUUUCGAAUUUCCUGAAGAAACUAUACAUAAAGAGAUCCAAUUACGAAACCAGAACAUCACAAGAAAGUCACGCAUGGACGAUGAACGGCAAAAAUGAAGUAAAACCCGCAUCAAAUUUUCAAUCAAAAAGCAAAAUUGAGAAAAGUGUGUAUGCAUACAGUAGUGACAAUGAAAAAACAGAAGGGGAGGGGGAGACAGAAAGACCCUUCGAAUUCAAAUAAAGGAGUUGAGGGGGAAAAAAAAGAAACCCUUAACGAAAAUCGAUCCAACCCACUGAUUAGAAAAGUAGGAAGAAAAUUCCACAACCGCAAUCAAAUUUCAAAUUUUACAAAACCCAUAAAAACUGCAAAAGAUAUUCAGAUCUAGGCACAGAGAAAAUAAAGCGACCAUGGUCCUGUAUACUUACUUGGUCUUGGAAGACAUGUUUGUUCUUGACGAUGAUGACAUAGAAGAGAAAUGAAAAAUGGGAAAAGAGUUGAAAAUGUGCGAGUUCAGGUAAAUGAGGAUACGGGUUCUCUAUCGAAUGCUAAAAUGCUGACAUAGUGUAAGAGAAUGUAGUUUGGCUGUUCCCUUUCCUUUCUUUUCUUUUCUUUUCUUUUAAACUACAAUGAACUCCUAUUUCUAACUUUUUUUCCCCUUCUUUUUCCCCCACACAUGGAAAGACUAUCCAUCCAUAUUAACAUGCACUGCUAUAUUUGGCCCCACAUGGUCACACUCAAAAUUUGGUAUGAUAAUUUUCUUGAGUAUUCCCUGCAGCAUUUCCAACACUGGUAAUUUCAUCAUGCAAAUUAACUUCAGUUAAAAGUGCCUCUUUGUGAAAACCUUUUAUACACAUUUUUCAAUUAAUAUUUCUCUAUAUUACUGAAUUUCAUUAGCAACAAAAUAAAGCUCCUAUGAUGGAAGAAGUGAUGUUGACAGAGCAAAUAGCACAAAGUUCAAAACCUACAAAACCUAUUAGAAAUAACUAAAGACCUCGAAUUUCUAUAACGUUUCUUUGUCAUACUAUAAUUAUAAGAUGAAUUCAUCCUGCAUAAUCUAUUAUCCAAGUAUCAAAGCCAGAAAUUGCGUACCUCAAAUCACCAGCAAACGGAAAUUGAAAAGUGUCGGUAAAUUGUAAUUGAACAACACAAACUCAACUAAAUCAUAUCAAUUAAUAGGUCUAUAAAGUUGAGUUUUUCGUAUUUCGUUUUCUGUGCAGCUAAAUAAUUUAUAGUGAAAAGUUCACACCUUUUUCCACAAUUUUCUCGGCAACUAAACGAAACAGCGAAUAAUUCUUCACCCAAAAAAUCUAAUAGCAGAAAAGAGACACAAUUACCUCCGGAGCCAGUUCAGAAGGGAAUCCCAGAGACCCAUUUGGAGAAAACAGAAAUUUUUGGUCUCAAAAGAGCGAAUUAUAGAAAAUAAGACAACCCAAUAAAUUAAAAUUGAAGGAACCCUAAAUUGAUAGAUGGAAGAUAGGGAAGGAAACGGUAAACUGAAGCAAAGGAAAAAAAAUAAAAAGCAAGAAGGAAACUUCUAGCUGUGGAAGGAAUCUAUUUAUAAACUAGGACGUUUGUGUCAGUUUACUGGUAUGUUGUGUUGUGGUAAUAGCCGCUGCCCAUUAGUCACUUCUCUACAUUCGACAUUCAUGGAUAAUAACGCACCAGGAACUAUGGGUCUCGCUUCGCUUCCAUUUUUUGGUUUUCUCUACUGUCUUCACAUAAACUGUACAAAUGCCCACCUCCAGCCCUUAAAAGAAUUCGAUCACCUUCCCAUCUUGGUUUCUCAGAGACUGGAUUAGCAACUACUAGAUUAAUGUCCAAUCAAUUUCACUGCAAUUAAGUUUGAG
Molecule: unclassified non-coding RNA, 5732 nt
Filed under: Hevea brasiliensis (rubber tree)
Lineage: Eukaryota; Viridiplantae; Streptophyta; Magnoliopsida; Malpighiales; Euphorbiaceae
Source: RNAcentral